RNAcentral lists this ribosomal RNA (274 nucleotides) under uncultured bacterium. Its description in RNAcentral is "partial 16S ribosomal RNA". It matches the Rfam family "Bacterial small subunit ribosomal RNA", at positions 523 to 796 of the family's 1533-position model. The record is from RNAcentral.
AUACGGAGGGGGCAAGCGUUGUUCGGAAUUACUGGGCGUAAAGGGCGCGUAGGCGGGCGGGAAAGUCUCUCGUGAAAUCCCACGGCUCAACCGUGGAACUGCGGGAGAUACUACUCGUCUUGAGUUCGGGAGAGGAGUGUGGAAUUCCCAGUGUAGCGGUGAAAUGCGUAGAUAUUGGGAGGAACACCGGUGGCGAAGGCGGCACUCUGGACCGAUACUGACGCUGAGGCGCGAAAGCUAGGGGAGCAAACGGGAUUAGAAACCCCAGUAGUCC